UGAUAGGCCCAGACAUACCCACAGCACUAUAUGUAACAUCUCUUCCUGAUCAGCGCCAUUCCCACGGUUUCAAAGAAAACAGCAAUGAGGAAUGCUCACCUCAGUGUCUGCAGCACCCUCCACGUCUCUCCUAGGCGAUGAGACCCAGUGGCUAGAAAUUCACCACGUCUAUUCUCAAGAUCCAUGCCAGGGAGAUCUUUGACUCUUGUGGGAAUCCCACUAUUGAGGUCGAUCUCUUGACCUCAAAAAGUCUCUUCAGAGCUGCUGUGCCCAGUGGUGCUUCAACUGGUAUCUGUGCGGUCCUAGAACUCCAGGACAAUAAUAAGACUCACCAUAUGGGGAAGGGUGUCUCAAAGGCUGUUGUGUACAUCAAUAAAACUAUUGCACCUGCCCUGGUUAGAAAAAAACUGAACGUCACAGAACAAGAGAAGAUUGACCAACUGAUGAUCGAGAUGGAUGGAACAGAAAAUAAAUCUCAAUUUGUGGGAACGCUAUUCUGGGGUUUCCCUCGCCGCCUGCAAAGCUGGCGCUGUUGUGAAGGGGGUUCCCCUGUACCACCACAUUGCCGACUUGCCUGGCAACCCCAAAGUCGUCUUGCCAGUCCCGGUGUUCAGUGUCAUCAAUGGCAGUUCUCAUGCUGGCAACAAGCUGGCCAUGCAGGAGUUCAUGGUCCUCCCAGUCGGUGUGGCAAACUUCAGGAAGCCAUGCCCAGUGGAGCAGAGGUUUACCACAACCUGAAGAAUGUCAUCAAGGAGAAAUAAGGGAAAGAUGCCACCAGCGUGGGGGAUGGAGGCGCAUUUGCUGCCAACAUCCUGGAGAAUAAAGAAGGCCUGGAGCUGCUGAAGACUGCGAUUGGGAAAGCUGGCUACACUGAUGAGGUGAUCAUCGGCAUGGACGCAGCGGCCUCCGAGUUCUUCAGGUCUGGGAAGUGUGACCUGGAAUUCAGGUCUCCCGACGACCCCAUAAGGUACAUCUCACCUGACCAUCUGGCUGAUCUGUCCAAGUCCUGCAUCAAAAACUACCCAGUGGUGUCUGUCAAAGGUCCCUUUGACCAGGAUGACUGGGGAGCUUGGCAGAAGUUCACGGCCAGUGCAGGAAUCCAGGUAGUGAGGGAUGGUCUCACAGUGACCAGCCCAAAGAGGACGGCCGAGGCGGUGAAUGAGAAGGCGUGCAGCUGCCUCCUGCUCAAAGUGAACCAGAUUUGCUCCAUGACUGAGUCCCUCCGGGCGUGCAAGCUGGCCCAGGCCAAUGGUUAGGGUGUCAUGGUGUCUCAUCCUUCUGGGGAGACUGAAAAUACCUUCAUUGCUGACGUGGUGGUGGGGCUGUGCCCUGGCAGCUCAAGACUGGUGCCCCUUGCUGAUCUGAGCGCUUGGCCAAGUACAACCAGCUCCUCAGAACUGAAGAGGAGCUUGGCAGCAAGGCUAAGUUUGCUGGCAGGAACUUCAGAAACCCCCCGGCCAACUAAGCUGUGGGCAGGCAAGCCCUUCAGCCACCUGGUGGCUAAUUAGACCCCUCCCCUCGUGUCAGCUCGGGCAGCCGAAGGCCCCUGACCAACGUUUGUAGGGGCCGCUGCUAGUGAGCUCCCCUCGCCCACCGCCGUGGAGUUUGCACCGCUUCUUUAGAACUUCUACAGAAGCAGGUUGCAGUGAGCCGAGAUCAUGCCACUGCACUCCAGUCUGGUGACAGAGCGAGACUCCAUCUCAAAAAAAAAAAAAAAAAAAAAGAACUUCUACAGAAGCCAAGCUCCCUGGAACCCUGUUGGCAGCUCUAACUUUGCGGUCAUGUAAUUGGCCCAAAUCAUUGUUUUUCUCGCCUCACUUUCCACCAAGUGUCUGGAGCCACGUGACCCUCCGGUGUCAUCUCCAGGGUGGCCACAGGCAAGAUCCCCAGUGAUUUUGUGCUCAAAAUAAAAAGCCUCAGUGACUCAUGAGAAAAAA
RNA transcript from Cercocebus atys (sooty mangabey), 1937 nucleotides. It is a transcript of the gene named alpha-enolase pseudogene, with no coding region annotated. NCBI's taxonomy places the organism in Eukaryota, Metazoa, Chordata, Mammalia, Primates, Cercopithecidae. The record is from RefSeq and is a predicted model, not a curated record. The transcript has a single exon.